Molecule: ribosomal RNA, 1325 nt
Filed under: soil metagenome
Description: bacterial LSU rRNA
Rfam family: Bacterial large subunit ribosomal RNA
Source: RNAcentral
AUGGACCGUGAGGGAUAAGCUUCGUUGGUCGAGAGGGAAACAGCCCAGACCAUCAGCUAAGGUCCCUAAGAGCAGGCUAAGUGGUAAAUGAGGUAGAAGUGCAAAGACAGCCAGGCGGUUGGCUCAGAAGCAGCCAUCCUUUAAAGAGUGCGUAACAGCUCACUGGUUGAGUGUUUCUGCGCAAACAACCCAGCGGGGCUAAGCCUGUCACCGAAGCUAUGGGUUUCGAUGCAAAUCGAAGCGGUAGGGGAGCGUUCUCUACGCAGCGAAGGCGUUUUGUAAGAAACGUUGGAGUGUAGAGAAGUGAGAAUGUCGGAAUAAGUAGCGCAAGAUGUGUGAGAAACACAUCCACCAAAAGCCUGAGGUUUCCUACGCAAGGUUAAUCCGCGUAGGGUUAGUCGAUCCUAAGCCGAGGCCGAGAGGCGUAGGCGAUGGAUAACAGGUCAAUAUUCCUGUACCACUUUUAUGGAGGCAAAGGGGGGACGCAGUAGGAUAGAUCAAGCGUACCUAUUGGACAUGGUGCGUCUUUCAUCUUAGGCAAGGCCGGGGCAGGGAAAUCCACCUCGGAUGUUAAGCGGAGGAUGAGAGGAAGUCAAGAGGAGACUCAAGGCGACUUGACUGAAUCCAAACUGCCUAGAAAAUUCUCGUUGUCUUUGAAGUAAGAGUGCUCGUACCACAAACCGACUCUGGUAGGCGGGGAUAAAAGUCCCAAGGUGAUCGAGAUAAUCUUCUUUAAGGAACUCGGCAAUCUAACCCCGUAACUUCGGGAUAAGGGGGACCCUCUUCGGAGGGUGACACGAAAAUGGCUCGAGUGACUGUUUAACAAAAACACAGGUCUCUGCUAAAGCGUAAGCUGAAGUAUAGGGGCCGAUACCUGCCCAGCGCCGGAAGGUUAAGGAGAGAUGUUUUAAAAGCAUUGAACCGAAGCCCCGGUAAGCGGCGGCCGUAACUAUAACGGUCCUAAGGUAGCGAAGUACCUUGUCGGGUAAGUUCCGACCUGCACGAAUGGUGUAACGACUUGAGCGCUGUCUCAAAGAGGAACUCGGCGAAAUUGAAAUACCCGUGAAGAUGCGGGUUACUCGUGACUGGACAAAAAGACCCCGUGGAGCUUUACUAUAACUUGGCAUUGAGUCUGGGCUUGUUAUGUGUAGGAUAGGUGGGAGGCUGUGAAGCCAGGGCGCUAGCUCUGGCAGAGCCGACGGUGAAAUACCACUCUUAACGAAUCUAGCCUCUAACUUCAGAUCAAGCUGGAGGACAAUGCCUGGCGGAUAGUUUGACUGGGGCGGUCGCCUCCCAAAAAGUAACGGAGGCGCCCAAAGGUUCCC